Long non-coding RNA from Peromyscus maniculatus bairdii (prairie deer mouse), 3270 nucleotides. RefSeq lists it as uncharacterized. The record is from RefSeq and is a predicted model, not a curated record. NCBI's taxonomy places the organism in Eukaryota, Metazoa, Chordata, Mammalia, Rodentia, Cricetidae.
GCGGCUACUGAGCUGGGACUAUGGGUUAGGCUGGUCCUUCAGUGGCCCUCCCUCACAGGAGGCCUGGGAAGAAGGGGUUUCACUUUCGAAGUAUAAGACAGCUAAACAGAAAGGCCGCUUGGUCAUUUGCAAUCAAGCUAGCCUGGUGGUGCUUGGUGCUACAGUAACCGACUUGAGGGAGCGUGGGGGUGUUGGGAACUUCUAGGAAGAAGACUGAGAGCCUGGAGGCUCACAGUGAUUGGUAAGGAACCACCCAUGACUUGGUUACAGAGUCCACUGGUUUGGAGCAGAAAGGAAAAUUAUAGCAUCAGCUGGGGGUUACACAUGCCCAUUGGGAUCCCAAUCGCUGCUGGAGUCCUGGCCCUCCUUGCUCUCCUGGCUCUGGCCUUGCACUGUCUCAAAGAGGCCUGGAAGUCCAGAUGGAGCCUUUGCUGGGGGGGCUGGAGGUGCCCUCAAACUUGGAAGAACCUGCAGCUUGUCUUCAACCACAGGCCAGAUGAGGGCCAGCUGGGAAUCCUUUCUUCAGAGCACCGUGGCCCUCAGAUGCCUUCCUCAGUGUCCCCUGAAGGCCCGAAUGGCACCAGGACUGGUCCUCAGCUUUGGGUGUGAAGAGGAGUGUCGUAUGCCCCUCCCCGCCGUGCCAGAGGAGGUUGUAGUACCCGCCAAGCACCCUGCAAGUAUUUGGAAAACCACUAACAUGGAUGGAGGACUGACUGAAUGAGAAGGGCAUUGUGACUGCUGUGGGGUGAGGGGUGGGUCCUUGUCCCCCAGGAGUAUGGCACGAGGGAGGGUCUAGCAGAAGUGUCUCUCUCCUCUGGCUUAUGGCAGCAAAGCUUUCUCCCCAAAGCCACCCUGAAGAAGCAGAGGUUCUGGUUACUCCAUCUUUAACAGUAGCCUGUUCCCAUGGGUGCAAUGCCAUGACCCAAGAGAGAGCAGAGCCAUGGGCUAGAAGCAAAGGACAGAGGUCCUUAAGAAUGGCCACUGAAUGGCACGCAGGCACAAGGAAGCUGCAGCUGACCUCCUUCCAGUCCCAAGAGCUCUGUCACUGUCCAGGCAGAGUUCUCAGGCCUAAGGUCCGGCUGGCUCCUUCCUGGGACCACAGCAAGGGCCACUGCAACCUCAUUGCUUGUAGCCCUUGCACUUUCCCGGCUCAGCCCAGGCAUCAGAGAAAUCAGGGCCUCCUGAAGCAUGUCUGGGUCCCUGGCUGCUGAGCACCAAGCUAGUGAGCUUUCUGGGUCAGGACACUGCUGCAGCCUACCCUCUUGCCCAUGUUUCCAGACCAGAGCCACUGGAAUCUGGGUUCCUGAGAACCCCCAGGGCCACUUGAUCAGGUUUUCCUGGGCUUUUCCCGUUAGUAAGGGCAGGUUAGUUAGGUUGGCAGGUAGAAUGUGAAAAUGCCCCCAAGAUGGCUGUCCUCCGAGGUCCACAGGCUCAUGAGCCAGUCCUCUGGAGCGCAGAUACAACCAUGAGUGCACCACGCUCUCUGAUGAGGUCGAGCUAUGGGGCGGAGGGACUGAUGCAUUAUAGCCUCUAAUUAAUUAAAUUGCCUCUGCGUUAAGGAAGAGAUGGGGCCAGGAGCAGUGGUGCAGGCCUGUGGGUGGGCUGAGCCAACUGGGCAGGGUGAGGCAGCAGGAUCACUUGAGUCCAAGACAUCAAGGCCAGCCUGGGUAACAAAGUAAGGCCCUGCCUACUUUUCAACAGGGUCUGCUAUGCAGCCCCUGCUGGCCUGAAAUGUGAGACCCUACCUUGACUCCCUGCCUGAGUAUUGGGACUAUAAGCACAAGCAGUCUGAGACCUUGAUUCUCAAAAAAAAAGUGGUGGUGAUGAUGACGACGACGACGACAACAACGACGAGGAGGACGACAAGGACGACGAGGAGGAGGAGGACGAGCCUGGAUAGUCUGAUUUGGUCUGUGAACUGUUUAAGAGUCGGCCCAGAGCUGCCCAGGAGAGGACGAGCCUCCAUUCUGAGGCUGCCACCUUGACUGCUGCUGUGUGACCCUAGACAGAGGACACUGUUCAGCCCUCCCAGAGUCCUGGUUCACCAACAGCAUGAGGUAAUAAAUAGGAGUUUUUGGCAGUUUUUCCUGGCAAUUUGUUCUAAGGCAAUAAAUGUGUGCCGAACAGGACAGGCUGGCAGGUCUGAGGGCAGUGAGGAGUGAGGCCACUUUGGGCAGGGCACCGAUGCCAGGGCUGUCAGGAGAGCCUGCCUAGCCUCUACUACCCUCCUUUUUGGCAGGGCCCUGCUGUGGUGAGGUAGGCUGCACCGGGCCUAUUAGAACCUCCAGAAUGAGAAGGGAGGAUUGGCCUCCCCAGAGUACUGGACAUCUUCUUUUGGCCUUCCAGAGCAAGAGGCUGUAGGAUGAAGCAAGUGGGAGCAGGCCUAAAGCCUGUGGUACCCUAAGUGGGUCCUGGAGACAUCCUUAAAUACAUCUCUAGCAUCCGGUCCUUAAACCAGGUAAUCACACCUCACGCACACAGUCAGGGAGAGGACUCCAUGGCAGGUACUGUGGCGUCUGCAUGGACAGGUGGUUAAGGAGGUGCCUGGAGGCAGAGGUGGGUGUGGAAGCUGCUGCUGUCACUGGGUGAGUUGCUGGGGCCCCAGAUGAAUUAGAAGCAGAGGGAUGGGGAUGGAUAUCAAAUGCCCACUGUUGCUGCGUGGUGACGGUGUACAACUUUAAUUCCAGCACUCAGGAGGCAGAGGCAGGGGGAUCUCUGAGGCUAGCCUGGUCUACAGAGUGAGUUCCAGGACAGCUACACAGAGACAGGGCUAUACAGAGAAACCGUGCCUUGAAAAAUCAAACCAAACCAAGCAAACAAAUAAAAAAAACCCACUGUUGAGUUUUUGUUUGAAGUCCUUGUCUCCACCUGCCCAAUGUAAUCUACCUGAGAUUACAGACAUGUACCACUAGGCCCAGCUUUUCACAGGGAUGCUGGGAAUCUGACUCAGGUCCUCAGAGCUUCGUAGCAAGCAUUUCUCCAGCCCCCAGCCCAUCUUUUUGACUGGAGGCAAAUCUCAGGUGGGGGCCCAGGGUGGCUGACAGUCAGGGCGGGGCAAUGGGCUAAGAUAAAAAGUGGGCAGUUACCGGUCCAGACAUAUCCAGGGUCUCAAGAAGCAAACCUGGCCUUCGUUUGGUGCCCCUUCCCUUCUGGGCUCACCCCAACUCAUUCAAGUGAGCUCAUGAAGGAGUCCGGCUGAAGGGGUGGCACAUGGCCCACUCCUCAGACCUUCCCUAUGGCUGGGAACAGAGCCUCGGCAGGUGCUCUCCC